GGCCUGAUAGCACAAUGGUUAGUGCGCCUGUUCUUAUUAUUGAGCCACGUCCACGAUGCAAAUUUAGGCAGAAGAUCCCCGUUCGACUCGGGAUCAGGUCG
This is a non-coding RNA of Mycena rosella, 101 nucleotides long. The record is from the annotation of a GenBank genome assembly. Lineage: Eukaryota; Fungi; Basidiomycota; Agaricomycetes; Agaricales; Mycenaceae.